This 397-nucleotide ribosomal RNA is filed under the name uncultured bacterium. Its description in RNAcentral is "partial 16S ribosomal RNA". It matches the Rfam family "Bacterial small subunit ribosomal RNA", at positions 523 to 918 of the family's 1533-position model. The record is from RNAcentral.
AUACGUAGGUGGCAAGCGUUGGCCGGAUUUACUGGGUGUAAAGGGCGUGUAGGCGGGGAUGCAAGUCAGAUGUGAAAUUCCGGGGCUCAACCCCGGCGCUGCAUCUGAAACUGUAUCUCUUGAGUGCUGGAGAGGAAAGCGGAAUUCCUAGUGUAGCGGUGAAAUGCGUAGAUAUUAGGAGGAACACCAGUGGCGAAGGCGGCUUUCUGGACAGUAACUGACGCUGAGGCGCGAAAGCGUGGGGAGCGAACAGGAUUAGAUACCCUGGUAGUCCACGCCGUAAACGAUGGAUACUAGGUGUAGGAGGUAUCGACCCCUUCUGUGCCGGAGUUAACACAAUAAGUAUCCCACCUGGGGAGUACGGCCGCAAGGUUGAAACUCAAAGGAAUUGACGGGG